Molecule: small RNA, 909 nt
Filed under: Pan troglodytes (chimpanzee)
Lineage: Eukaryota; Metazoa; Chordata; Mammalia; Primates; Hominidae
Description: retained intron
Source: RNAcentral
GCUGCAGCAGCAGCUGCUCUGCAGAGUGGUGGCCGGGGCCGGGGUGCCCUCCCUCCCACCUUCUCCCGCCAUGAGCCAGGGAAGUCCGGGGGACUGGGCCCCCCUCGAUCCCACCCCCGGACCCCCAGCAUCCCCCAACCCCUUCGUGCAUGAGUUACAUCUCUCUCGCCUCCAGAGGGUUAAGUUCUGCCUCCUGGGGGCAUUGCUGGCCCCCAUCCGAGUGCUUCUGGCCUUUAUCGUCCUCUUUCUCCUCUGGCCCUUUGCCUGGCUUCAAGUGGCCGGUCUGAGUGAGGAGCAGCUUCAGGAGCCAAUUACGGGAUGGAGGAAGACUGUGUGCCACAACGGGGUGCUAGGCCUGAGCCGCCUGCUGUUUUUCCUGCUGGGCUUCCUCCGGAUUCGCGUUCGUGGCCAGCGAGCCUCUCGCCUUCAAGCCCCUGUCCUUGUUGCUGCCCCACACUCCACUUUCUUUGACCCCAUUGUUCUGCUGCCCUGUGACCUGCCCAAAGUUGUGUCCCGAGCUGAGAACCUUUCCGUUCCUGUCAUUGGAGCCCUUCUUCGAUUCAACCAAGCCAUCCUGGUAUCCCGGCAUGACCCGGCUUCUCGACGCAGAGUGGUGGAGGAGGUCCGAAGGCGGGCCACCUCAGGAGGCAAGUGGCCGCAGGUGGGUAAGGGUCUCAAGACCAUCUUCUCACUUUCCAUGUGCUCCUGAAGAGGCUUCCCUUUCCUCUCUCCACAGCCUUCUUCAGCCUUCUUCACCUCAUUCUGCUCUUUUUUACCCCAGGUGCUAUUCUUUCCUGAGGGCACCUGUUCCAACAAGAAGGCUUUGCUUAAAUUCAAACCAGGUGAAUAAAAUGAUAGUGGGUGGUGGGCUGUAGGAAAAAGAAGUUCCAGAUUUGGGGAGGGACUCUG